CCCUUAGAUGUUCUGGGCCGCACGCGCGCUACACUGACGAAUGCAACGAGCUUAUAAUCUUGGCCGAAAGGUCUGGGUAAUCUCCAAAUUUCGUCGUGAUGGGGAUAGAUUAUUGCAAUUAUUAAUCUUCAACGAGGAAUGCCUAGUAAGCGCAAGUCAUCAGCUUGCGUUGAUUACGUCCCUGCCCUUUGUACACACCGCCCGUCGCUCCUACCGAUUGAAUGGUCCGGUGAAGCGUUCGGACCGUGGCCUUUGGACGGUUCGCCGUCUGUUGGCUGCGGGAAGUUCGUUAAACCUUAUCAUUUAGAGGAAGGAGAAGUCGUAACA
Molecule: ribosomal RNA, 327 nt
Filed under: uncultured eukaryote
Lineage: Eukaryota
Description: partial 18S ribosomal RNA
Rfam family: Eukaryotic small subunit ribosomal RNA
Source: RNAcentral